This 757-nucleotide ribosomal RNA is filed under the name uncultured bacterium. Its description in RNAcentral is "bacterial SSU rRNA". It matches the Rfam family "Bacterial small subunit ribosomal RNA", at positions 8 to 760 of the family's 1533-position model. The record is from RNAcentral.
AGAGUUUGAUCAUGGCUCAGAUUGAACGCUGGCGGCAUGCCUUACACAUGCAAGUCGAACGGCAGCACGGACUUCGGUCUGGUGGCGAGUGGCGAACGGGUGAGUAAAAUAUCGGAACAUACCCCAGAGUGGGGGAUAACGUAGCGAAAGUUACGCUAAUACCGCAUACGCACUAAGGUGGAAAGCGGGGGAUCGCAAGACCUCGUGCUCCUGGAGUGGCCGAUAUCUGAUUAGCUAGUUGGUAGGGUAAAAGCCUACCAAGGCGACGAUCAGUAGCUGGUUUGAGAGAACGACCAGCCACACUGGAACUGAGACACGGUCCAGACUCCUACGGGAGGCAGCAGUGGGGAAUUUUGGACAAUGGGCGCAAGCCUGAUCCAGCAAUGCCGCGUGAGUGAAGAAGGCCCUCGGGUUGUAAAGCUCUUUUGUCAGGGAAGAAACGGUGCUCUCUAAUAUAGAGUGCUAAUGACGGUACCUGAAGAAUAAGCACCGGCUAACUACGUGCCAGCAGCCGCGGUAAUACGUAGGGUGCAAGCGUUAAUCGGAAUUACUGGGCGUAAAGCGUGCGCAGGCGGUUUUGUAAGUCUGAUGUGAAAUCCCCGGGCUCAACCUGGGAACUGCAUUGGAGACUGCAAGGCUAGAGUGUGUCAGAGGGGGGUAGAAUUCCACGUGUAGCAGUGAAAUGCGUAGAUAUGUGGAGGAAUACCGAUGGCGAAGGCAGCCCCCUGGGAUAACACUGACGCUCAUGCACGAAAGC